Molecule: ribosomal RNA, 450 nt
Filed under: uncultured bacterium
Lineage: Bacteria
Description: bacterial SSU rRNA
Rfam family: Bacterial small subunit ribosomal RNA
Source: RNAcentral
AACGAACGCUGGCGGCAUGCCUAACACAUGCAAGUCGAACGAACCCUUCGGGGUUAGUGGCGCACGGGUGCGUAACGCGUGGGAAUCUGCCCUUUGCUUCGGAAUAACAGUUAGAAAUGACUGCUAAUACCGGAUAAUGUCGCAAGACCAAAGAUUUAUUGGCAAAGGAUGAGCCCGCGUAAGAUUAGCUAGUUGGUGGGGUAAUGGCCUACCAAGGCGACGAUCUUUAGCUGGUCUGAGAGGAUGAUCAGCCACACUGGGACUGAGACACGGCCCAGACUCCUACGGGAGGCAGCAGUGGGGAAUAUUGGACAAUGGGCGAAAGCCUGAUCCAGCAAUGCCGCGUGAGUGAUGAAGGCCUUAGGGUUGUAAAGCUCUUUUACCAGGGAUGAUAAUGACAGUACCUGGAGAAUAAGCUCCGGCUAACUCCGUGCCAGCAGCCGCGGUAAU